Molecule: ribosomal RNA, 328 nt
Filed under: uncultured Neocallimastigales
Lineage: Eukaryota; Fungi; Neocallimastigomycota; Neocallimastigomycetes; Neocallimastigales
Description: partial large subunit ribosomal RNA
Source: RNAcentral
GUUGUUUAGUUGAAAAUCAAUUAAAUAGUUUUCGAUUUUAAGUAGUAUUGACCUUAUCAGCUUGCUGCUUUCUUUUCGGAAAUUAUUUAAUGCACUUUUCAGUUAACAAGUCAACAUCAAUUUCUUUUGUUGUAAAAAGGUAAGAGGAAGGUGGCUUGCGCUUCGGCUCAAGUGUUUAUAGCCUUUUACCCCUGCAAUCGGAGAGAUUGAGGUCUGCAGCGUAGAUCCUUCGGGGUUAGAUACAUUUGUGCUAAGCUAUAGCCUUGUAUAGACAACUUGUUGACUAUGCUCAGUCAUGUAGCUUACUCGCUUAUGUUAUUUUACCUAC